Long non-coding RNA from Diabrotica virgifera virgifera (western corn rootworm), 633 nucleotides. RefSeq lists it as uncharacterized. The transcript has 2 exons. NCBI's taxonomy places the organism in Eukaryota, Metazoa, Arthropoda, Insecta, Coleoptera, Chrysomelidae. The record is from RefSeq and is a predicted model, not a curated record.
CAUGACGGGGUCGCGAGGUAAGACGGGGUACCGCACACAAACAAGAAACUACACGUUGGUGAAUAGCAUGCAGUAACUCAAUAAGAAGAGUUAUUCGAUUAACGGUCACUGCAAGAGAAACCGUGAAUGAGAGUGCACGCGUUUUUUGUUUACAAACGGAAAACUGUUUUAGCGCUCCGUUGAUCUAAUUUUGUGCAAGGACAACCAUCGUUAUUUUAAGAUAAUACCAUGGUACGUACUUACAAGAAAAAACAAAAAGAGGAGAGUGGUCGAGAGAUGCUAUGAAAACAGCCUAGAUAAAGUGAUAUCGUCAGAACCCUGGGUAGGCUGCCAGAUCUGUGGAUGUUGAGCUCACAAUGCUUGUGCUAGGGUGGACAAUGAAGAUCUGGAGCAAAUACACGUUUUUGUUUGUUUUGUGAGAAUUAAUUAGCAUCACCAUCAUGCUCCAAUUCCAUUACCCCAUCAUACCCCAUAGUAUGGGGCAAGAUGGUUUUUCAUAAUGUUCUUAUUAAUGGCUAAUUGUUGAAAAAUGUGAUAGGUUGAUUUUCCAAAGAUUGUACCAAAUCAUAGUUAGAUUAAUGACGUAACGCGCCAUCAAUUAGUAAUAGUAAUAAACGUAGUAAUUAUGUUGUA